Long non-coding RNA from Seriola aureovittata, 3514 nucleotides. RefSeq lists it as uncharacterized. Lineage: Eukaryota; Metazoa; Chordata; Actinopteri; Carangiformes; Carangidae. The transcript has 3 exons. The record is from RefSeq and is a predicted model, not a curated record.
UAGCGGCGCUGACAGAACGACCAGAGCAGAACCAAAACCACCACCACCAAAACCAGAACACCAGCUCCCAGGAAGCCCGCCAGCACUGGAGACAUGGCUGAGACAGAGAGAGGAGAGCGUCAGAGAGACAGGAUCACACUUCAGGUCCUGAACCAGCUGCACUGGACCCGGUGGAGGUCUGGGUCCUGGUCCAGAGUUUGUUCCUCAACACUAAAACGUUCCCUGAGCUCCACUGAUCCUGAAACAGUCGUUACAGUCGUCUGAUGGAAGACAAACGAGACCAGCCACCGCUCCCAGUCAGAGCACAGGCCGACGUGAAGCUGGGUUGAUACCUGUGUGUCAGGGCGACACUGCACCUGUCUGCACUCAGAGGUUUCAGUGGAGACACCAGGUGAGGACAGAGCUGUGAUUGGCUGCUUGUGUUUGUUGAGAGUGAAGACAACAUAACCUGCUCACUGUGUCACCGCUCUGAAUUAAUUAAUUUACUUCCCCACAGUCUCUCUCUCUUUCUCUCUUUUAUCCUCCCUGAUUAUUUUUUCAGUUAAUCAAUUAAUUGUAUUAUUGAUUGAUAACAGCUUUUAUAGUUCCCACAGGCCAGAGCUGAGAGAUCUUCAAUUCCCUGUCACGUGACAAACAACAAAUAAACAUCACAACAGUGACUCUGUCCAGAUGUUAAACAGCUGCUCUCAUUAACACACUUAAUUAUAAAAUAACACAAACAAACUCGUUAACGUUCAUCUGCAGGAAUCACAACCAAACUCCCACAAUCCCUCAGUCCUGUUGUUGUGGCUUUUCAUUCAGGCCGCAUCAGAUGAGCUCAUGUUUUGGAAAGAGCUGAAAGCAGCGGAGCUCGCUGCCUAGCAACACACACACACACACACACACACACACACACACACACACACACACACACACACACACACACACACACACACUGAGCUGGUUAGGCCUCCCUCUGACAGUCAGUUUCUGAUCUGUAAUAAUCAUUUAUCACAUCCAGUAGCAGCUCCUCUGAUUGGCUGGAUUUGAGCCAAUAGGACGAGGGACUCAUUAAUGACAGAGUUGAAACUGUUGAACAUCUGAAGACGUCGCCUUGUUAUGAUUUUUUACUAUUCUCUAACACUGUGUAAAACAAUCGAUCAGUUAAUCAAUAAUUAUUAAUAGAUGAUGAAAAUAAUGAUCAGCUGUAGUCUGACGUGUGUCAUGAAUCUGAACUGAAGCCUGAAUCACAUGAAGGAACAAUCAAUUCACAAAACUGAAUGUUUUUAUAACAUCAGGUCAUCGACAAGGUUCCUCAUUAAUUUAUUGAUUAAUCGACUGUUCUAAAAACUCCCUGUUCUGUUCUAUCACCUCACACACCUCUGAUCUGAUCGUGGUUCCGACAGUUUUCUCCACAAUGUUAGAAAACAGAGACAAAUGUCCACGUUAACAUCUCCAGUCCAAAACACACACCCAAUACAAUUCAGUGAUUAUCAGAAUUAUUGCUGAUUAGUUUUCUGUUAAUCAACCAAUCCAUUAAUUGUCUAAUAAAACUGUAGGUGAAAAACUCAGAGCUUCAACAGUUUGUGUUCUGAUCAGACAAACACACACGCACACACACACAUACACACACACUCUGAACAGGUGUUUGUGUUGUUGUUUCUCAGAUGUUAAAGGUAAAUUAAACAAAUUCUUUCCCUUUAAUUAAACUUCAUUAAAGUCUCUGCUCGUUGUCGUUUCAGGUGCUGGUUAUUUCCUGGAGUGAAGGUCAGUCAGCUGAUUACACUUCAGCUGUGUGUGAGUUGCGUUGCUGUUAUUACUGAAGUCACUAACGGCACUCUGUACUUUUAUAUCAUUAAAUUGUUAUUAUUAAUUCAUUACUGUAAGAUCAGGAGUUUACUGUUGCAGCUGUUUGAGGUGGAGCUGAAUUUAACGAUUAUUCUCACUAUUGAUUAAUCUGCUGAUUAUUUCCUCAAUCAAUCGCUAAAUUGGUUUGUAAAACUUCAGAAAAUAAAGAGAAAUCCUGUCACAGUUACUCAGCGCCACUCCACAGCUUUCAUCCGACCAACAGUCCAAACCUCAACACGAUUGAAAAUAAAUUAUUCAAAUUAUUCUCAAAGAAAAGGAGCAAAUCCUCUCAUGAGAGAAGCUGGAGCCAUGAAAUCUUUAAAUAAAAAAUAAUAAUGCAAAUUAAUUUUCCUCCAAUCAGUUCACCUUUAAUAAAGCAGAAUAUUGUAUUAGAUCUUGAUAUGCUUCAUGAGUAAAAAUAUUAAUUUAGUAAUGCAGUAAAAAGAGCAGUAUUUCUCACGUACAAGUACAAAUCUGAUUAAAAACAAAAUACUUCAGUAAAUAUACUGUGUGUGUAACUCAGCCCCAUUUCAUCUUUAUUUCCUGUUUUAUCUUUAGAUUUGUUCCAUAAAAUAAACAAAGUAAUGAGGGAAAAUGAUGCUGCCAUCUGUCAGUGUAACAUCUCCACACUAUUCUGAGAAAACACUGUUUAACAGUCUUUACCUUAAAAGUCCUGCGUUCUCAUUUUAAAUUAAGUAAAAGUAUCAUCAUAAAAAUAUUACCAACAGUUAAAGUAGCAGAUUUCAUGACUGUAUUAUAAUUAUUGAUUCAUACAUGUGUUCAUCACUUUAAUAUUGUAGCUGGUGAAGCUCAUUUCAAUUACUUUAUAUACACUGCUGUUAAAAUCUUAACAUAUAAUAAUCCAUCAAAAUUGAACUGAUCAGUUAAACAUUAAUUUGACUUAUUUUAAAUGUAAAAUAGAAGUAAAUGAGUAUUUCAGAGCUGUGAGUAAAUAAACUGUGUUAGAUUCCACCUGUUAAAUCACAUUUAAAUCUUAUAUGUUUAGAUCCUGUUCGUGUUUUCAUCUCAAAUCUAAACGUGAGUGAAUCUCAGUCACAUUAACAGUAAAAUCUGCAGGUGCUUCGGGUUCAGUUUUGCCCAGCGCCGGGUACAGACAUGACGUCACCCGGUACCCACCCCGAUUGGCACGCGCACGCACACCGAGGCCCACGAGAGGCAGACGGUGCGUAGGAGCACGAGAACGCCCUGUUUACCGCGUCUGACGGGAUGGUGUUAUUUUUAUUAAUGGAUUGAUCACAGUGAUGUAAUAAUGCAGCGGCGCCUUCGUCCGGUUUCCCUUUGUUUCCUUUUAUUGUUUAUUAAAUCACAGCUGGAUUGAUAUGUUUGAUUUUAAAUGAUCGAUCCCAACCUGUCUGCUGUCAAAUAUUCACAUUUAAAUCGAUUUAAUCGAUUUGAUAACGACGAUGCUCAAUAAUCUGCAGGAAAUCGGAACGUUUUUAUGUUUAAAAUGAAUUUAAAAAACCCAAUAAAAUAAAAAAUGAAUAAAAAUAACGGGUGUUGGCAUCACAACGCUUCAUUAACUGGGUGUAGACACCUGACACAGGAUGUUUUAGACUGAUACACCUGCUACAAACGUGUUAGAAACAUGAUAUAAACGUGAUAAAAACAUGUAGCAGUUAAUUAAUCCAGUUAUUUCGACGCUGAGCCGCAGACAAUUUAAGCAGAC